GACGAACGCUGGCGGCGUGCUUAACACAUGCAAGUCGAACGGAAAGGCCCUGCUUUUGUGGGGUGCUCGAGUGGCGAACGGGUGAGUAACACGUGAGUAACCUGCCCUUGACUUUGGGAUAACUUCAGGAAACUGGGGCUAAUACCGGAUAGGAGCUCCUGCUGCAUGGUGGGGGUUGGAAAGUUUCGGCGGUUGGGGAUGGACUCGCGGCUUAUCAGCUUGUUGGUGGGGUAGUGGCUUACCAAGGCUUUGACGGGUAGCCGGCCUGAGAGGGUGACCGGCCACAUUGGGACUGAGAUACGGCCCAGACUCCUACGGGAGGCAGCAGUGGGGAAUAUUGCACAAUGGGCGGAAGCCUGAUGCAGCAACGCCGCGUGCGGGAUGACGGCCUUCGGGUUGUAAACCGCUUUCGCCUGUGACGAAGCGUGAGUGACGGUAAUGGGUAAAGAAGCACCGGCUAACUACGUG
This 468-nucleotide ribosomal RNA is filed under the name uncultured bacterium. Its description in RNAcentral is "bacterial SSU rRNA". It matches the Rfam family "Bacterial small subunit ribosomal RNA", at positions 28 to 507 of the family's 1533-position model. The record is from RNAcentral. RNAcentral also lists the same sequence under 3 other names.